CAUAGCUUUGUUGACUAUAAUUCAAAGUAAUGUCUGCCCCCUGAUAACUUAAAUGGCCGCGGUAUUUUGACCGUGCAAAGGUAGCAUAAUAAUUAGUUUUUUAAUUGGAAACUGGAAUGAAAGGCUUUACGAAGAAAUUUCUGUCUCGUUUGGAUUUUUUUUGAAUUUUACUUUUAAGUGAAAAGGCUUAAAUUUUUGUAAGGGACGAGAAGACCCUAUAGAGUUUUAUAAAUUUAUUUGAUUAUUUAUUUAGAAUUAAAUUUUUAUUCAUUUGUAUUUAUUUAGUUGGGGUGAUUAUUAGAUUUAAAUAACUCUAUUUAUUUUUUACAUUAAUUUAUGGAUAAUUGAUCCUUUAUUAUGGAUGAAAGAAAAAAUUACCUUAGGGAUAACAGCGUAAUCUUUAUGGCGAGUUCUUAUCAAUAUAAGGGGUUGCGACCUCGAUGUUGGAUUAAAGUUUAUUAUUGGUGUAGAAGCUGAUUAUUUAAGUCUGUUCGACUUUUAAAACUUUACAUGAUCUGAGU
Molecule: ribosomal RNA, 521 nt
Filed under: Dryops algiricus
Lineage: Eukaryota; Metazoa; Arthropoda; Insecta; Coleoptera; Dryopidae
Also listed under: 2 other names
Description: partial 16S ribosomal RNA
Rfam family: Bacterial large subunit ribosomal RNA
Source: RNAcentral